RNAcentral lists this long non-coding RNA (600 nucleotides) under Homo sapiens (human). RNAcentral describes it as "non-protein coding lnc-VPS18-1:8". The record is from RNAcentral. Lineage: Eukaryota; Metazoa; Chordata; Mammalia; Primates; Hominidae.
AAAGGUUGGGAGGGGGCUCGAGGCCAUCAGGCUCCAGGCCGCACUUGGCGCUGCCCCCUGGCGCCAGGGAAACAAAGUGACGGGGGUCUUGCUAGGUUGCCAAGGCUGGUCUUGAACUCCUGACUUCAAGCAGUCCUCCCACCUCAGCCUCCUAGGGUGUCCGGAUUACAGGCAUGAGCCACUGUGCCCGGCCCCCUAUCACGAUAUCCAUAAGAUGCCAGGAUGCCCAGGAACCGAGUUUGAAAGACAUUGUGCUGCUGAUCCCACCUCCUGACUUUACAGCUGCUGAAUUGCAGAAGACAAAUUGGUAGCUAACAGGAGGCUCCAUCCUGGAUCCUGCCCCUGUCCGUGAGAUUCAGCCUUGAUUAACUGUGUUCCCAUGCUGGUCGUGAGCAGGGCACCAUCCUAGGUCCUUCUUUAUACUCAUUUUCCAUCUCCAGCCAAAAUGGGUUGAACCGAGGAACAAGGACAUAAUCUGUAAAGAGCAAGUGCAAGUCUCUGCUCUGCCAUUACCAGCAUCAGGCUAAUCAAGCCCUUGGAAACUCAAUUUCUUCUCCUGUAAAAUGUGAAUAACUGUUACAGACCUGGAAAGGCUCUUGU